GAUGAACGCUAGCUACAGGCUUAACACAUGCAAGUCGAGGGGUAACGAGAGGAAAGCUUGCUUUCCUUGUCGACGACCGGCGCACGGGGGAGUAACGCGUAUCCAACCUGCCCCCAACUAAGGAAUAACCUUGCGAAAGUAAGACUAAUACCUUAUAAUUUCCUCAGAUGACAUCUGACGAGGAAUAAAGAUUUAUCGGUUGUGGAUGGGGAUGCGUCUGAUUAGCUUGUUGGCGGGGUAACGGCCCACCAAGGCAACGAUCAGUAGGGGUUCUGCGAGGAAGCUCCCCCGCAUUGGAACGGGGACACGGUCCAAACUCCGACGGGCGGCAGCAGUGGGGAAUAUUGGUCAAUGGGCGGAAGCCUGAACCAGCCAAGUAGCGUGCAGGAUGACGGCCCUAUGGGUUGUAAACUGCUUUUAUACAGGAAUAAAGUUAGCCACGUGUGGUUAUUUGUAGGUACUGUAUGAAUAAGGACCGGCUAAUUCCGUGCCAGCCGCCGCCGUAA
RNAcentral lists this ribosomal RNA (506 nucleotides) under uncultured bacterium. RNAcentral describes it as "partial 16S ribosomal RNA". It matches the Rfam family "Bacterial small subunit ribosomal RNA", at positions 28 to 523 of the family's 1533-position model. The record is from RNAcentral.